AUGAAGCGGUGGGGCGCCAACUUGGGUCGCGACCUCCGCGAGCGGAAGAAGGCCCUUCUGUCUGCUAUUCAGGCCCUCGACCUGCGCGCCGACGCCUCCGGCCUUUCUCCUGAGGAGUGGCUUUCCCGGUACGACCUGGAAGACCAACUCUUGGUCAUCUACUCCCAUGAGGAGGCAUACUGGCAUGUGCACGGGGCUCAGAAAUGGGUUCUGAAAGGUGACGCCAACACGGCGUACUUUCAGGCCAUAGCGAAUGGUUGGCGCAGGCGCAACACCAUCCCCCUUCUCUAGGAUGGGCCGACUCUAUUGCAGUCCCCGCGGGACAUUAGGGCCCACGUUGACGGCUUCUAUAGGUAUCUGUUCGCAGCCACUCCUCGGAGCGGCUUAUCCCUGGCCCUGGACUGUUGGUCCGGCCGCCAGCUUGUCUCGGAUGAGGAGAACGGGGCCCUCACGGCCCCCCUUCUCUGUGGACGAGGUUUGGGCCGCCAUCAAAGGCAUGAACCCUACCUCGGCCCCGGGACCGGAUGGCCUGCCAGUUAA
This 540-nucleotide ribosomal RNA is filed under the name Triticum aestivum (bread wheat). Its description in RNAcentral is "partial small subunit ribosomal RNA". The record is from RNAcentral. Lineage: Eukaryota; Viridiplantae; Streptophyta; Magnoliopsida; Poales; Poaceae.